This 412-nucleotide ribosomal RNA is filed under the name uncultured Gammaproteobacteria bacterium. RNAcentral describes it as "bacterial SSU rRNA". It matches the Rfam family "Bacterial small subunit ribosomal RNA", at positions 9 to 423 of the family's 1533-position model. Lineage: Bacteria; Pseudomonadati; Pseudomonadota; Gammaproteobacteria. The record is from RNAcentral.
GAGUUUGAUCGUGGCUCAGAGUGAACGCUGGCGGCAGGCCUAACACAUGCAAGUCGAGCGGCAGCACGGGGGCAACCCUGGUGGCGAGCGGCGGACGGGUGAGGAAUACAUCGGAAUCUGCCUUGUUGUGGGGGAUAACGUAGGGAAACUUACGCUAAUACCGCAUAAGACCGAAAGGUGAAAGUGGGGGACCGCAAGGCCUCACGCGACAAGAUGAGCCGAUGUCGGAUUAGCUAGUUGGUGAGGUAAUGGCUCACCAAGGCGACGAUCCGUAGCUGGUCUGAGAGGAUGAUCAGCCACACUGGAACUGAGACACGGUCCAGACUCCUACGGGAGGCAGCAGUGGGGAAUAUUGGACAAUGGGCGCAAGCCUGAUCCAGCCAUGCCGCGUGGGUGAAGAAGGCCUUCGGUU